RNAcentral lists this ribosomal RNA (829 nucleotides) under uncultured bacterium. Its description in RNAcentral is "bacterial SSU rRNA". It matches the Rfam family "Bacterial small subunit ribosomal RNA", at positions 8 to 824 of the family's 1533-position model. The record is from RNAcentral.
AGAGUUUGAUCAUGGCUCAGGACGAACGCUGGCGGCGUGCCUAACGCAUGCAAGUCGAGCGGAGGUGCUAAGUGGAUGGGGUAACUCAUGAAGCUUAGCAUCUUAGCGGCGGACGGGUGAGUAACACGUGAGCAACCUAUCCUCAGCACGGGGAUAACAGCUCGAAAGGGCUGCUAAUACCCGAUGGGACCACUGAGUGACGCAUGUCAUGGUGGUGAAAGGGGCCAGUGAUGGUUUGGCUGGGGAGGGGCUCGCGGCCCAUCAGCUAGUUGGUGAGGUAGAGGCUCACCAAGGCGACGACGGGUAGCCGGCCUGAGAGGGUGGACGGCCACAGUGGGACUGAGAGACGGCCCACACUCCUACGGGAGGCAGCAGCGGGGAAUUUUGCGCAAUGGGCGGAAGCCUGACGCAGCGACGCCGCGUGAGGGAAGGAGUCCUUCGGGAUGUAAACCUCUGUUGAUGGGGAGAAGGAGGAGAUAGUACCCAUUGAGGAAGCCACGGCUAACUACGUGCCAGCAGCCGCGGUAAUACGUAGGUGGCGAGCGUUGUCCGGAUUUACUGGGCGUAAAGGGUGCGUAGGCGGCUAUGCGAGUUAAGCGUGAAAGCCUUGGGCUCAACCCGAGGAUUGCGCUUAAUACUGUAUAGCUUGAGUGCAGGAGAGGGCGGCGGAAUUUCCGGUGUAGCGGUGAAAUGCGUAGAUAUUGGGAGGAACACCAGUGGCGAAGGCGGCCGUCUGGACUGUAACUGACGCUGAGGCACGAGAGCGUGGGGAGCGAACAGGAUUAGAUACCCUGGUAGUCCACGCUGUAAACGAUGGAUGUUAGGUGUG